Non-coding RNA from Podarcis lilfordi (Lilford's wall lizard), 2070 nucleotides. NCBI's taxonomy places the organism in Eukaryota, Metazoa, Chordata, Lepidosauria, Squamata, Lacertidae. The record is from the annotation of a GenBank genome assembly.
CGGUGGGUUGCAGCGAAGAGCAUCAACAUCUGGUCCUUCUGGUCCCUCUGGAUUACCAACAGGAGCCGCAUCGGCACAACCUAAACCCAAAGGAAUGGCAUCUGAAGAUGCUUUGGCUCAGGCACUAGGUAAAAUUAACGAAUCUUUGGAAAAAAUAAGUAAACAAGUAGCUGAAGCAUCGGGCAAAAUUGAUCAAAAUACCACAAGUAUUAAUAAUUUGGGACAGAAGGUAAAUACCAACACAGAAACCAUUCAGAAAUUACUACAGGAAUCUACCUCGACACGAAAGACAGCUGAAGAGGCAAAGGAAAUAGCAACUGCUGUAGAAGAGAAGAUACCACCGAUACACAAACAACUUGAAGACCACAGGUCAAUAUUGUCUAUGAUUGAGUUGAAGGAGAAACAAACGAAUUUGAGGAUCAGGGCCGUACCUGAACUUGAGAAAGACAAUCUGACUGAUUUUCUUAUGCAGGAAUUUGCAGACUUUUGGGACCUAGAUUUGGAGAAGGAAGGUUUCAAGAUAGUGAGUGCUUUUAGGCUUGGAAGAGGAGGGAGGAAGAACAGGGUGAGAGACUGUUUGAUCACCCUCCAAACAAAAGAGGAGAGAGACAAAAUCUUGACUCUGCAUAUCCAGAAGACUUUGGAAAUUCAUCAGUCAAAAGUAGAGAUAUUUAAGGACAUUCCGAAAUAUCUUCUGGACCUUAGGUCCAACUAUAGAGAUUUGGUCGCCCUGUUGAGAAGCAACGGAAUCAUUUUUAGGUGGGAAUUCCCCAAGGCCUAUCCUUUAGUUACAAAGGGAAGAAGAUAAAAAUAAGAUCAGAGGACGACAAAGAUAGAUUUUGGAGAGACCACGGAGAAGACCUGCAGAAGGAAGCUGCAGAAGAGUUAAGAGCACUAGUAAGUGAAACUUUAGACAUACCAAGAUUACCUCCUGAACUAAAAGACCGCCUGGAGAAGGUGAUACCACCAACAGAUCAGGAACAGGCACUGGGUGCAGUUGGAGGAGAAGCAAAGUAACUACAUCAUGGCUCUGCAACUAUUAAGCUGGAAUUGUAAUGGUCUGAACUCCCUCAGAAAAGGAAAUCUGUGUUUCAUUUAUUAAAAAGGAACAAUUGGACUUGAUUUGUCUACAGGAAACACAUGUAACAAGGCUACACAGGAAAGUAGUGAUUAAUAAAAGACUGGGUCAGGAGUUUAUUUCUUUGGACAAGGUUAAAAAAAGAGGGGUAGUGAUCUAUACAAAGGAGAGACUACUACCGAAAUUUAUCUUCAAAGAUGACCAAGGAAGAUUUGUGGCAAUUGAAAUUCAAACACAAGGAGAGAAAUUUUUAAUAGUAGGAGUUUAUGCACCAAAUGAGGGGAAAUCUGAAUUUUUUAAAAAAGUUGCAUGAGACCUUGAUGGACUAUUUGGAUUAUAAUGUGAUUUUGAUGGGAGACAUGAAUGGUGUGGUAUCUACACACAUGGAUAAGGCACAAAGACAGGUAGUCACUAAGGACGGCAGAUUACCGAAAACUUUUUUUGAGAUGACAGACAACUUGGACUUAGUUGAUACUUGGAGAACAAAGAAUCCCUUGGCCAGAGAGGGAACCUUCUUCUCUGAAGCCAAACUGACAUGGACAAGAAUUGACCAAAUAUGGGUAACUAGAGGAAUGGCACCAAAGAUAAGAAAAGUAGAAAUCUGCCCAAAAACCUGCUCCGACCAUAAUGCUGUGAAGAUGGAGAUGAAAUUAACACCAACUGGCUCCUUCAGAUGGAGGAUGAAUGACACCUUAUUCAUAGAUGAAGAAAUGUAUAAAAAGGCCCAAAAAACCUUGAGAGACUAUUUUGAGAUAAAUAUGAACACCAAUGUGGAAAAAAGAGUAAUCUGGGACGCUAGCAAAGCUGUUAUGAGAGGGUUCUUGAUACAACAGAAUGCAUUAAAGAAGAGAACUCAAAAUGAGAAGAAGGAUAAAAUUUUGGAGAAAAUAAAAGAAAGUGAAAAGAAAUUGAGAGCAAAACCUAAGUCGCAAGAGAUUUUGAGAGAAAUAAAAUUACAUCAAGUACAAUAUAUGAAAAUGAUGAAUCAGGAG